AACGAACGCUGGCGGCAUGCCUAACACAUGCAAGUCGAACGAGACCUUCGGGUCUAGUGGCGCACGGGUGCGUAACGCGUGGGAACCUGCCCUUAGGUUCGGAAUAACUCCCCGAAAGGGGUGCUAAUACCGGAUAAUGUCUUCGGACCAAAGAUUUAUCGCCUUUGGAUGGGCCCGCGUUGGAUUAGCUAGUUGGUAGGGUAAAAGCCUACCAAGGCGACGAUCCAUAGCUGGUCUGAGAGGAUGAUCAGCCACACUGGGACUGGGACACGGCCCAGACUCCUACGGGAGGCAGCAGUGGGGAAUCUUGGACAAUGGGCGAAAGCCUGAUCCAGCAAUGCCGCGUGAGUGAUGAAGGCCUUAGGGUUGUAAAGCUCUUUUACCCGGGAUGAUAAUGACAGUACCGGGAGAAUAAGCUCCGGCUAACUCCGUG
Molecule: ribosomal RNA, 433 nt
Filed under: uncultured bacterium
Lineage: Bacteria
Description: partial 16S ribosomal RNA
Rfam family: Bacterial small subunit ribosomal RNA
Source: RNAcentral